CCGCGGACGUGUUAACACGUCGACUGCCGGACGAUUUAGCGCGGCGUAUUACACGAAACGGAUAAAACUGUAAUAUCCAUGAAUUAUUUCGUUAAGCCGGGUUGUCGUUACUGCGGGUCUAUCUUGCAGGAUGUUACCGGGUUAGGUAUCGUGUUAUUCUCUUUCCUGUUGACGAUGGAGUGCGGAAGGCUACACCGUUAACUGCGAGUGACCGCGAUUUUAGGCAUCGAUGAGAUUAACAGUUCGACUCGUCGUUACUAUUCGAUGAGAGGUAGCAGAAUAUUUCUAUAGACAAACGCCAGGUAAUUGGAUUAACAUGAAAAUGCGAUCUCGGGAACAGCCGAGGCGCUCGCGACCGGUCAGCAACGGUUCGAGGCAAUAAUGGAGCAAUUACAUCGGGAACUCGCGGGGAAGAUUUAUUCAGGGGCGGAAGGAGGCAAAAACGGGGAUGAGUUGCGCUUACGCGGUCCAUUACUGGACUCUAUUUCCCCAGCGAGAGCCGGCGAGCAGUGUUCCCCCCGUUCGCGGGCGCGGGAACGAUCGGAGAAGAGAGAUCCGGCCAGAUACGGCCGGUACGUUUUCUUCUUUUCAUCGAUUCAUACGAUACAUAUCUUCGUGAUAAAUGAACCGCCGCUAUCAGAUUUACUUCUUCAUCGGCGGGGCGUAAUUGCUACAGCUUCCACCGGCCUAUUGAUGAUUAUGUAACUCCGCGUGUCCGUGGAAUGACGACUGAUAGGACUUCAACUUGGGUUGGCGGUUUUGUUACGUCCAUGUUCUUCCUGGAUUUUCUUUCGACUUCGUAUGAGUAAUUGCUCGCUGAUGUAUCUAUUAGCUUUAUAGCCGGAAAAACCUCCAGCGUAACUCGGUGAGUGGUCCACGUUUUUCAAACGGUUACGCGAUAAAUGUCAAUGAUAGUUAACGAAAAGAGAUUUAUUUAGAAAGCCGAUGCGCGUGCGGUGAAUAGCUGAACAGGAUUUUAUGCAAGAUUCAGCGUACCGAUAAAACCAAUUGAGAAUAUAGACGUUCGAUGCUUUCAGCGAGAUCGAGUCGUGUCGCCGGAGAUUACUUUAGAUAAACACAGAUUUCGUUUUUUAUCUUCUCGCACAACCGAAUCGAAGGAUUCGUGUGUCUCCCGUGAAUGUAAGCGUCACACCGAAACGUUUAAUAGCAGCAAAUCGGCCCAUCUGGCGCGUUCAUCCCGCGCGACCGUGGACGUAUCGUUCCGGCUUCACGGGAGUUAGGCGCAAAGGUAAGGCCGACUCUAUUCAAUAACCAUCAAAAGCCGGCGAGCGUCGAUUCUGUAAUGUUAUUACCAUCAUUACCGAUUAAUAACUCAAUUGCCGGAAACUAUAUGUUUACCGUGUUCCCCCGCCGGCCGAGGCGGACGGCUCGCUCGAGGAAUUCCGACCUUUGUCCGAAGAAUUUCGUGCUCUUACGGCCGUGAUUACCGAUUAAUGAUUGAAAUCUUCGACCGGCGCUCGUUUAUUCGCGGCAUUCUAACGGGAGGCCGCAGCAGACAUUCAGAUUUUCACGGAGAGAUCUCAAUCUGGCGAUCAUUUCCAUCGUAAAUCCUUGUCCGGCGAUUUUUUCGAAUGGAAAUGCAGCACUGUUUAUUCAUGCGAUCUCGGCCUAAUGGAAAAACCUGUCUUCGGUACGACAAACCGCUUGUAAAUGGACUGCAAGCGUUUAUGCAGAUUGCCAAUUUUAUGGAUCUAUUAAAAGGAAAAACCAGCGUAAAUCUAUUUCCCGAGGAAAACAAUCGUAAAAAAGAAAUUAUCAUUAUCGCGGAAGGU
Molecule: non-coding RNA, 1793 nt
Organism: Nomia melanderi (Alkali bee)
Lineage: Eukaryota; Metazoa; Arthropoda; Insecta; Hymenoptera; Halictidae
Source: RefSeq, a predicted model, not a curated record